Molecule: long non-coding RNA, 2119 nt
Organism: Triticum dicoccoides
Lineage: Eukaryota; Viridiplantae; Streptophyta; Magnoliopsida; Poales; Poaceae
Exons: 2
Source: RefSeq, a predicted model, not a curated record
CCUCUCGAACCCACCCACUCCUCUCUCCCAUCGUGCUCCUUCAUCCAAUCCCCGCAACUUUCCCCACCAAUCCGCCGCCGCACCACCUGCGUCCUCACCCAACCGCCGCACCACCUGCGUCCUCACCCAACCGCCGCACCACAUGCCUUCCCACCCCGCCGCCAGCCCGGGCUCGCGCCGGCCCGUCGCCUCUCACCUCCAACCGCACCUCCUUGCCGGCCGUUGCGCCUUGUCCCCCUUCUCGGCGCAGGAGUGCCCUCUUUCCUCCCCAUGUCAGAGCACCCCUGCCACCUUCUCCCCGUGGCGCGCCGCCCCUCCACGCGACGGCCUCAACUCCUCCGUCGAGCAUGGGUCCUUCCUACCGUGCAGGCACCUCGCAAGGGCCUAGAUCCGGCGACACCCGAGGCGUCCCCAGCGAGGUAGACUCCCGGCGAUGGAUCCGGACAGGCAUCCGCCACCAGCACGGCCACAACGGCCGAUUUUCAUGUGUGCGGCGUCCCGUCCAACCAUGACAUGCGUCGUCCCCUCGGCCCCCAAGGCGCCACCGUCGCCGACACCGUCGCGCCGCUGGGGGAGGGCCAGGUCCGUCGCGCCCGCAAAGAGCUCACUGACCUUCAUCUUUCUCAUGCUCGCUGACAAGGACGUCGGUAGCGGUGACCAGGGCAGUUUCUCCUUCGACCGGGUGUGAAGUGCAUCCCGUCCCAUGCAGUCCACUUCCAGGCAACAGCUCACGGAGCAACACCGAUUAUCCCAGGCAACAACUUAUUUUGUUUGUCUAUACUAAUGAAGUUCAUUUUAUUCUACACAGGCAACAGCUCAUGGAGCAACACCGAUUAUCCCAUUAGGUGUGCAAUUCUUGUUUGCAGAGAAAGAGGUGCUCGGUGGAAGAAGAACAAGAAGAAUGGCCAGCCACCAAACCAGAGGGAUAGCACCGCAGACUCCUCAAAUCAAUUCUGCAUGUGUGCAAAAAAAGACCUCACCACCACCACAAGAUGGAGCCGACGGGGGCAGCAUGCAAUCCUUCUGGCGAUGGCGUGUAGUUUUGUGACUCGUUUAGUACACGCAUGCCCUUGGUAUACGCCACGGGUCCUCCCAGGCCCCGAUGCUGGCGACGAUGUCAACGGCAGCCCCUCUGUGCAGUUCAUGCGACGCACCCGUGCGGUGCGGAACGUAUUUGCAUGCAGUUCUCUUCCUCGCGCAUGCAUGUAGUAGGGUCCAAUGGUUGUGUAGUUCACCGCUGGGUGGUGCUCCAAUGCAGUUAGAUCGCAGGUGGUGUUCACCAAUUUCGCCUCCCCCACGACCUCGUCACUUCACACUACCGACAUGGGCAUGCAGCUCACUAUCUAGACAAAGUGAAACUGAAGUUCACAAAAAAAUAUGAUUGAAGUUCGCAAAAAAUGGGUUAGAGAAAGUUGUUAAAAAAGUAAGAUGUUCGUACAGUUCACUUGAUCAAUUCAAGACAAAGUCUUGUCGAUUUAGAAUUUGGCUUCCUUCUUGUGUGCGCCAGCCAAAGAAUUUUAGUGCGUAAUAAUAUACUUUUUGUUUCAGUCCAUGGAGCUGACUGUCAGAUUUGUGCUUCUCUAUCUUUGUUUUCUCUUUGUUAUGCAGAAACCGAUGGAAAGGAUUUCUGGGCUGGUGCUCAUCAAUCUUGGGUGACUCAUUUCAGAUGCUCCUUGGGGGUGAUCUCACUCCCCUAUAAAAUCUUCAUGGUUUCUUUGUACGGCUAUGGAAAUUCUCCAUCAAACCACUCGGCUUCAGAUAAAAAGAGUACAUAUGCGCACAUUUCUUCUGACUGAGAUCAAGAGAUGGUGGUGCGAAAAGAGGUUGGAUUAUGGAUCUCGCGACCACCAGGUUCCCGCCAUGCCACGCGAUCCAAGCUUUGCUCGGGUACAUACACACAUUUGGGCAUUGGAGAUUAUGCAUUAAAGUGAGCUUGCAGUGCACUAGCUCAUCGUGUGAUGAAGAAACAGGUGUCUCGUAUGCUGAAUUUGAUGUGUCCUGUGUGUACUGUUUGUGUAAAAAGAACAAUGUUUCAUUAUUCCUCUGUAUGAAGUGCAAUUUGUUUCGUGUGGAUCAAAAUUCAGUCAACUACAUCAACACCUGUAGUGUGUUUGGUCCU